ACCAAGAGUAGUAAUACUUUUGGGGUUUUGGACAGCGUACGGUAUUAACUGCGGUUAGUAGAAUGAAAUGGGAAGUUCAACCACAGAGCGUGAUAGUCGCGUACACGAAAACUAAAGUUAGCCAGCUGGAUCCAGAGUACCGCCGGACACGUGAAACCCGGUGGGAAGACGGGGGGACCACCCUCCAAGCCUAAAUACUCUCCAAUGACCGAUAGUGUAUAGUACUGUGAAGGAAAGGUGAAAAGAACCCCUGGCGGGGAGUGAAAUAGAACCUGAAACCUUGUGCCUACAAGCACAUAGAGCGCGUCAAUGCGUGAUAUGGUACCUUUUGUAGAAUGGUCCGGCGAGUGAAUGUCACUGGCAAGGUUAAGCUCUUCAGGAGUGCAGCCGAAGCGAAAGCGAGUCUGAAAUGGGCGUUUUAGUCAGUGGUAUUCGACCCGAAACCGGGUGACCUAGCCAUGAGCAGGCUGAAGUGGAGGUAAAACUCCAUGGAGGGCCGAACCCACUCCCGUUGAAAUGGUAGGGGAUGACUUGUGGCUAGCGGAGAAAUUCCAAUCGAACCCGGAGAUAGCUGGUUCUCUCCGAAAUAGCUUUAGGGCUAGCCUCAAUUAACAUUACCGCAGGUAAAGCACUGAAUGAGCUAGGGGGCGAAAGCUUACUGAACUCUAUCAAACUCAGAAUGGCGGAUAAUGAAUGAUUGGGAGUCACACUACGUGAGAUAAGUUUCGUGGUGGAAAGGGAAACAGCCCAGACCCACAGCUAAGGUCCCAAAGUACAGUUAAGUGGAAAAGGAUGUGAAAUUGCGCAGACAACCAGGAUGUUGGCUCAGAAGCAGCCACUCAUUCAAAGAGUGCGUAAUAGCUCACUGGUCGAGUGAUUUUGCGCCGAAAAUUUAACGGGGCUAAACUGUACACCGAAGCUUGGGAAUAUACCUCUGGUAUGUUGGUAGGAGAGCGUCGUAUGCGGGGUGAAGUCGUAGCGAAAGCGGCGGUGGACUGCAUAGGAGUGAGAAUGCCGGAAUGAGUAGCGAGAAUUAUGUGAGAAUCAUAAUGGCCGAAAGACUAAGGUUUUAGAAGGAAGGUUCGUCCGCUUCUAGUUAGCCGGGAGCUAAGGCGAGGCCGAAAGGCGUAGUCGAUGCACAUACGGUUGAGAUUCCGUAGCCACCUUAAAUUUAAACUAAGGGACACAUUGAAAGGGAAUAACCCAGGCGUUGGUUGACCUGGGCGUAAGGGAACGAAAAUAAGUAGUGAAGUAUUCUUGGACAGUGGCGAGAAAAGCUUAGUGUAUAUUAUUAGGGUGCCCGUACUGCAAACCGACACAGGUAGUCAGGAAGAGAAUUCUAAGGCCAUCGGGAGAAGCGUUGUUAAGGAACUCGGCAAAUUGACCCCGUAACUUCGGAAUAAGGGGUGCUCACGCGAGUGAGCCGCAGUGAAUAGGUCCAGGCAACUGUUUAUCAAAAACACAGCUCUCUGCUAAAUCGUAAGAUGACGUAUAGGGGGUGACACCUGCCCGGUGCUGGAAGGUUAAGAGGAGGGGUGCAAGCUCCGAAUUGAAGCCCCAGUAAACGGCGGCCGUAACUAUAACGGUCCUAAGGUAGCGAAAUUCCUUGUCGGGUAAGUUCCGACCCGCACGAAUGGUGUAAUGAUCUGGACACUGUCUCAACAACGCACCCGGCGAAAUUGUAGUACCGGUGAAGAUGCCGGUUACCCGCGGCAAGACGGAAAGACCCCAUGGAGCUUUACUGUAACUUAAUAUUGGGUCUCGGUACUUUAUGUACAGGAUAGGCGGGAGACUUGGAAACUAGCACGCCAGUGUUAGCGGAGUCAUCCUUGGGAUACCGCUCUUAAGGUAUUGAGAUUCUAACCUGCAGCCUUGAAUCAGGUUGGGGGACAUUGUUAGGUGGGCAGUUUGACUGGGGCGGUCGCCUCCAAAAGAGUAACGGAGGCGUUCAAAGGUUGGCUCAGCAUGGACGGAAACCAUGCUUUAGAGUAUAAACGCAUAAGCCAGCCUAACUGCGAGACUGACGGGUCGAGCAGUAACGAAAGUUGGAGUUAGUGAUCCGGCGGUAUGUGAGUGGAAAUGCCGUCGCUCAACGGAUAAAAGCUACCCUGGGGAUAACAGGCUGAUCUCCCC
This 2133-nucleotide ribosomal RNA is filed under the name metagenome. RNAcentral's name for it is "bacterial LSU rRNA". It matches the Rfam family "Bacterial large subunit ribosomal RNA", at positions 273 to 2492 of the family's 2925-position model. The record is from RNAcentral.